GACGAACGCUGGCGGCGUGCUUAACACAUGCAAGUCGAACGCUGAAGACCUGGCUUUUGUUGGGUUGGAUGAGUGGCGAACGGGUGAGUAACACGUGAGUAACCUGCCCUCUUCUUUGGGAUAACGCCCGGAAACGGGUGCUAAUACUGGAUAUUCACUGAUCUUCGCAUGGGGGUUGGUGGAAAGGUUUGUUCUGGUGGGGGAUGGGCUCGCGGCCUAUCAGCUUGUUGGUGGGGUGAUGGCCUACCAAGGCUUUGACGGGUAGCCGGCCUGAGAGGGUGACCGGUCACAUUGGGACUGAGAUACGGCCCAGACUCCUACGGGAGGCAGCAGUGGGGAAUAUUGCACAAUGGGCGAAAGCCUGAUGCAGCGACGCCGCGUGAGGGAUGGAGGCCUUCGGGUUGUAAACCUCUUUCGCUCAUGGUCAAGCCGUAACUGUGGGUUGUGGUGAGGGUAGUGGGUAAAGAAGCGCCGGCUAACUACGUG
This 486-nucleotide ribosomal RNA is filed under the name uncultured bacterium. RNAcentral describes it as "partial 16S ribosomal RNA". It matches the Rfam family "Bacterial small subunit ribosomal RNA", at positions 28 to 507 of the family's 1533-position model. The record is from RNAcentral.